Molecule: ribosomal RNA, 253 nt
Filed under: uncultured bacterium
Lineage: Bacteria
Description: partial 16S ribosomal RNA
Rfam family: Bacterial small subunit ribosomal RNA
Source: RNAcentral
UACGGGGGGAGCAAGCGUUGUUCGGAUUUACUGGGCGUAAAGGGCGCGUAGGCGGCGUGACAAGUCACUUGUGAAAUCUCCGGGCUUAACCCGGAGCGGCCAAGUGAUACUGUUGUGCUAGAGUGCGGAAGGGGCUACUGGAAUUCUCGGUGUAGCGGUGAAAUGCGUAGAUAUCGAGAGGAACACCUGCGGCGAAGGCGGGUAGCUGGGACGACACUGACGCUGAGGCGCGAAAGCCAGGGGAGCGAACGGG